GGCGCUGUGGCGCAGUGGGUUAACGCCCUGGCCUGAAGCGCCAGCAUCCCAUAUGGGUUCAAGACCCGGCUGCUCCA
This 77-nucleotide transfer RNA is filed under the name Oryctolagus cuniculus (rabbit). It matches the Rfam family "tRNA". From Rfam's summary of the family: Transfer RNA (tRNA) molecules are approximately 80 nucleotides in length. Their secondary structure includes four short double-helical elements and three loops (D, anti-codon, and T loops). Further hydrogen bonds mediate the characteristic L-shaped molecular structure. tRNAs have two regions of fundamental functional importance: the anti-codon, which is responsible for specific mRNA codon recognition, and the 3' end, to which the tRNAs corresponding amino acid is attached (by aminoacyl-tRNA synthetases). tRNAs cope with the degeneracy of the genetic code in two manners: having more than one tRNA (with a specific anti-codon) for a particular amino acid; and 'wobble' base-pairing, i.e. permitting non-standard base-pairing at the 3rd anti-codon position. The record is from Rfam by way of RNAcentral. Lineage: Eukaryota; Metazoa; Chordata; Mammalia; Lagomorpha; Leporidae.